This is a long non-coding RNA of Hyla sarda, 597 nucleotides long. RefSeq lists it as uncharacterized. The transcript has 3 exons. The record is from RefSeq and is a predicted model, not a curated record. NCBI's taxonomy places the organism in Eukaryota, Metazoa, Chordata, Amphibia, Anura, Hylidae.
AUUACUUAGAGGCUGAAUUCAGCUGGGUGGCUGAAGGAGGAGAAUACAUUGACAAUGACUUAUUUUUCUACCCUGUCCAUAGAGAAGGGGAAAAGAAAACAGGAAGUUUCUGUCUAUUAUAUGCGGCUUGAGGGUAACAGUAAAAACUGCAAUAUUUUGAAGCCCCCUGAGGAAGGAACGAAACAGUGGCUGUAGGGGUUCAGUGACGUACUGGCAAAUAACCAUGGGACAAGACCUAUAAAAUACCCUCCUACAGGUCUACUAAUGAAUCCAUUGGUGUAAAAGAGCCUGAGGCAACAAAGGGGGAUGAGGCUCCCCAACAAGAGCUAAACAGAAACUUAAUAGACAGCGUGCUAUUUGCAUAGAUUUAUUGCAAUGGGAAGGAACAUACACAACAUGUCUCUUGGCAAACAUGCUUUACAUCUCAAAUUAGCAAGUCAAAAGAUCUGCUUCUGUGCGAGCACCAUAUAAUGACAAAUAAACGCUGGCACCCGAUCAAUAAGUCAAUGCUGCAAUCUGUAAUAGGAUUAAAAUAGAAGUGCAGUAUCAAACAUUACAAUGUGAUAUUUUUUAAGAAUGCAAAAAAAAAAACCUUCA